Molecule: ribosomal RNA, 437 nt
Filed under: Bacteroidetes bacterium SCGC AAA027-K06
Lineage: Bacteria; Pseudomonadati; Bacteroidota
Description: bacterial SSU rRNA
Rfam family: Bacterial small subunit ribosomal RNA
Source: RNAcentral
GUGAGGUAAUAUUGCGCAAUGGACGAAAGUCUGACGCAGCCAUGCCGCGUGCAGGAUGACGGCCCUAUGGGUUGUAAACUGCUUUUGUAUGGGAAUAAACCCUUCUACGUGUAGAAGGCUGAAGGUACCAUAAGAAUAAGCACCGGCUAACUCCGUGCCAGCAGCCGCGGUAAUACGGAGGGUGCAAGCGUUAUCCGGAUUUAUUGGGUUUAAAGGGUCCGUAGGCGGGCCGAUAAGUCAGUGGUGAAAGCCCAUAGCUCAACUAUGGAACUGCCAUUGAUACUGUCGGUCUUGAGUAUAUGUGAUGUUGGCGGAAUGUGUAGUGUAGCGGUGAAAUGCUUAGAUAUUACACAGAACACCGAUUGCGAAGGCAGCUGACAAAUAUAUAACUGACGCUGAGGGACGAAAGUGUGGGGAUCAAACAGGAUUAGAUACCC